RNAcentral lists this long non-coding RNA (211 nucleotides) under Medicago truncatula (barrel medic). RNAcentral's name for it is "long non-coding RNA (MTRU_LNC004503)". The record is from RNAcentral. Lineage: Eukaryota; Viridiplantae; Streptophyta; Magnoliopsida; Fabales; Fabaceae.
GAUUAGUUCCCUUUUAAUUCCUUGCAAGACCAUAGCAUGUAUUUAGGACUCAAUGUAAAGGACUAUGGACACUAUAAGUGAUGUACACCGACACGAGCACCGACACAUGCACACACCCCACAUGGAUAUUCUAGAUGCAUGAUUAGGGAAUGUAUGUUUAGAUGUAUGCUUAGGUUUUACAACGCUUAGACAAAAAUCAUUUUCCCAAAAA